This 375-nucleotide RNase P RNA is filed under the name Legionella sp. PL877. RNAcentral's name for it is "RNase P RNA component class A". It matches the Rfam family "Bacterial RNase P class A". From Rfam's summary of the family: Ribonuclease P (RNase P) is a ubiquitous endoribonuclease, found in archaea, bacteria and eukarya as well as chloroplasts and mitochondria. Its best characterised activity is the generation of mature 5'-ends of tRNAs by cleaving the 5'-leader elements of precursor-tRNAs. The record is from RNAcentral. Lineage: Bacteria; Pseudomonadati; Pseudomonadota; Gammaproteobacteria; Legionellales; Legionellaceae.
AAAGUCGGUCAGGCAAUCGCUUUUUGCUGCUGCAAGAAGAGGAAAGUCCGGGCUCCUUAGGGUAGGAUGCCAGGUAACUCCUGGGAAGUGUGAGCUUACGGAAAGUGCCACAGAAAAUAUACCGCCUGCUCCGUUAACCAGGUUAAUAGAGCAGGUAAGGGUGAAAUGGUGCGGUAAGAGCGCACCGCGCGAUUGGUAACAGUCGUGGCAGGGAAAACCCCAUCCGGAGCAAGACCAAAUAGGAAUCCAUCCCGCUGCAAGGUGGGACGUAUGACCCAUACGGGAUUCGGGUAGGUCGCUUGAGGUAUGUGGUGACGCAUAUCCUAGAUGAAUGAUUGUCCACGACAGAACCCGGCUUAUCGACCGACUUUUUUC